Aethalodelphis obliquidens (Pacific white-sided dolphin) is the source of this 449-nucleotide non-coding RNA. Lineage: Eukaryota; Metazoa; Chordata; Mammalia; Artiodactyla; Delphinidae. The record is from the annotation of a RefSeq genome assembly.
UCCUGUUGCGGGGCAGCAGCAACACAUAGCUCAGCAAUUCUUCCCUCACCCUGUCAGGCUCACCUCACCUUGCAGAGCCUUGAAAUUGAAGAAGACACUUUCCAUCUAGAGGAAGACCUCAAACAUGCUUCUCUCCAGCCUUCUGAAGGUGGUCAUGGCUUCACUGUGGCUAGGAUCCAGUAUUGCCCAGAAGGUAACUCAAGACCAACCAGUAAUAUUAGUGCAGGAGAAGGAGGUUGUGACCCUGGAUUGCAUAUAUGACACAAAUGAGUUCACUUAUAGUCUAUACUGGUACAAGCAGCCCAGCAGUGGGGCGAUGAUUCUCCUUAUUCGUCAGGACUCUUAUAACCAGCAAAAUGCAACAGAAGGUCGCUACUCACUGAAUUUCCAGAAGGCAAACAAAUCCAUCAAACUUGCCAUCUCAGCUUCACAGCUGGAGGACUCUGCAG